GCGCGAAACCUUUGCCAUGCGCGAAAGCGUGACAGGGGAACUCCGAGUGGUAAGAGGAUUUAUCUUCUUAUCUUUUGGCCGAUCCAAACAAUCGGCAGAAUAAGGUCUGGGUAAGACCAGUGCCAGCCGCCAUGCUAUGUUAACGCAUCAGCAUUGGCACGGUACGCGGUAAUACUGGCAGAACAAGUGGUAUCCACGAAUAUUGGGUCUAAAGAGUCCGUAGCGGGCUGGUUAAGUCCACUGUGAAAUCUAACGGCUCAACCGUUAGGCGUGCAGCGGAUACUGAUCGGCUUGGGAGUGGGGGAGGUCGGGAGUACUUGCGGGGUAGAGGUAAAAUUCUGUAAUCCUGCAAGGACUACCAGUGGCGAAGGCGCCCGACCAAAACACGUCCGACCGUGAGGGACGAAGGCUAGGAGAACGAAUCGG
Molecule: ribosomal RNA, 426 nt
Filed under: uncultured euryarchaeote
Lineage: Archaea; Methanobacteriati; Methanobacteriota
Description: bacterial SSU rRNA
Rfam family: Archaeal small subunit ribosomal RNA
Source: RNAcentral